AUUUUGGACAAUGGGCGCAAGCCUGAUCCAGCAAUGCCGCGUGCAGGAUGAAGGCCUUCGGGUUGUAAACUGCUUUUGUACGGAACGAAAAAGCUCUCUCUAAUACAGGGGGUGAAUGACGGUACCGUAAGAAUAAGCACCGGCUAACUACGUGCCAGCAGCCGCGGUAAUACGUAGGCAGCAAGCGUUGUUCGGAGUUACUGGGCGUAAAGAGUGCGUAGGCGGUUUUCUAAGUUCGGUGUGAAAUCUCCCGGCUUAACUGGUAGGGGGCGACGAAGACUGGUAAGCUGGAGUGUGGGAAAGGCAGGCGGAAUUCCUGGUGUAGCGGUGAAAUGCGUAGAUAUCAGGAGGAACACCGGCGGUGUAGACGGCUUGCUAGACCAUAACUGACGCUGAGGCACGAAAGCGUGGGUA
This 414-nucleotide ribosomal RNA is filed under the name uncultured bacterium. RNAcentral's name for it is "bacterial SSU rRNA". It matches the Rfam family "Bacterial small subunit ribosomal RNA", at positions 361 to 767 of the family's 1533-position model. The record is from RNAcentral.